Molecule: ribosomal RNA, 618 nt
Filed under: Anabaena sp. 136
Lineage: Bacteria; Bacillati; Cyanobacteriota; Cyanophyceae; Nostocales; Nostocaceae
Description: bacterial SSU rRNA
Rfam family: Bacterial small subunit ribosomal RNA
Source: RNAcentral
CUUUACCCGAUCCUUACACAUGCAAGUCGAACGGAAUCUUCGGAUUUAGUGGCGGACGGGUGAGUAACGCGUGAGAAUCUAGCUCUAGGUCGGGGACAACCACUGGAAACGGUGGCUAAUACCGGAUGUGCCGAAAGGUGAAAGAUUUAUUGCCUAGAGAUGAGCUCGCGUCUGAUUAGCUAGUUGGUGUGGUAAGAGCGCACCAAGGCGACGAUCAGUAGCUGGUCUGAGAGGAUGAUCAGCCACACUGGGACUGAGACACGGCCCAGACUCCUACGGGAGGCAGCAGUGGGGAAUUUUCCGCAAUGGGCGAAAGCCUGACGGAGCAAUACCGCGUGAGGGAGGAAGGCUCUUGGGUUGUAAACCUCUUUUCUCAGGGAAUAAGAAAGUGAAGGUACCUGAGGAAUAAGCAUCGGCUAACUCCGUGCCAGCAGCCGCGGUAAUACGGAGGAUGCAAGCGUUAUCCGGAAUGAUUGGGCGUAAAGCGUCCGCAGGUGGCACUGUAAGUCUGCUGUUAAAGAGCAAGGCUCAACCUUGUAAAGGCAGUGGAAACUACAGAGCUAGAGUACGUUCGGGGCAGAGGGAAUUCCUGGUGUAGCGGUGAAAUGCGUAGAAAUA